GUCACGAGUUUGAUCCUGGCUCAGAUUGAACGCUGGCGGAAUGCUUUACACAUGCAAGUCGAACGGUAGAGGGGGCAACCCUUGAGAGUGGCGAACGGGUGAGUAAUAUAUCGGAACGUGCCCAGUCGUGGGGGAUAACGUAGCGAAAGUUACGCUAAUACCGCAUACGAUCUACGGAUGAAANCGGGGGGACUCGCAAGAGCCUCGCGCGAUUGGAGCGGCCGAUAUCAGAUUAGGUAGUUGGUGGGGUAAAGGCUCACCAAGCCAACGAUCUGUAGCUGGUCUGAGAGGACGACCAGCCACACUGGAACUGAGACACGGUCCAGACUCCUACGGGAGGCAGCAGUGGGGAAUUUUGGACAAUGGACGCAAGUCUGAUCCAGCCAUUCCGCGUGCAGGAUGAAGGCCCUCGGGUUGUAAACUGCUUUUGUACGGAACGAAAAGGUUUCUAUUAAUACUAGGAGCUCAUGACGGUACCGUAAGAAUAAGCACCGGCUAACUACGUG
RNAcentral lists this ribosomal RNA (506 nucleotides) under uncultured bacterium. RNAcentral's name for it is "bacterial SSU rRNA". It matches the Rfam family "Bacterial small subunit ribosomal RNA", at positions 1 to 507 of the family's 1533-position model. The record is from RNAcentral.